CAUACUUAUUCACAAGAGAGGCGCAAAUAAUAUUAUACAUGGGGUGGCAAAGGAGCUUCAGUCUUCUGUCUGGUUUUUCUCUGCUAUCGAUCCUGGUGACUUUUGCUUCCCGUAUGUGCUAUAUCCAGUUCCUUCGAUGUUUUCUUAGGCAGUAAGCCCUCCCUUUUUCUUUCCAUGGAUUUGCUCAUGCAUGCUUCUCUUUUGGCUUACAUGAUUUUGUUGUCUCUGUUGCUGCCGCUUUUGCUGUGGUAGCUUCAAUUCACAUACUCUUUUUUGCCAGUUUGGCUUCCGAAUUGUUGUUUUAUUUACGAUGAUCUAUUGACUUAUCAAAUAUAUAUAUCACACACCCACACACACACGGGGUUCAAAUCAAAAUAUAGUUGAUGAUCGCCAAAGGAAGAAUUUCGGCCCCUGCCGGAAAAUAUGGAAUAAAGAUCAAACAUUUUGGUGAAUAGUCGUCACCAGCUGCUAACGGACUCCGCUUGAUCGAUCAGUAGAUACGAAGAGUUUUGAGCGUGAACAGUCCAAGCUCCUCUCUGGGGCCAAGAGUUCUGAUAUUCCUAAUGACCAUUCAAAGCCAGCUUGGCAGAUGAAAACACGAGACCAUGGAACUUCAGAGUGUGCCAUGUCUAUUGUCAACCACGUGCCGAUCGUGAAAGACAUAAGUCGAACUCAGGUAUGAAAGGGAAAGGGCAAAGAAAAAGAAGAACAAGAUUACGAGUGCAUUUCUUGAUGAUAGCGGCACCAUUCCAAGCUAUAAAUAGGACAGUACACUGUACACUAGCUUUACAGGUCGCAAAAUUUCUUCUUCCUUUUUUUUUCCCUAGCAUUACCAAAUUGCCUUUGGUUCUUUCUUCAAUAUCUCUCCAAUGGUGAUUGUUGAUAGCAAGAAACCUGGGGUUUUCAAGCUGGUUACCCCCCUAAACCAGUUUGUUAUCAGCCCCUAUGCUUGUGAACAACGUGAGGGGGAUGGCGACGAUGACGAUGAUGGCGUGGAUGUAGCACCCGCUGCAUAAUUACCUACCUAUAUAAUUGGGAUUAUGGAUAUGAGAGGCUUUUUGAGCUCAUUGGUGAGGAAAAUCUGAGGUAUUUUAGGAUGUGCAUGUUAUAUAUGUGUAUGAACAUGCUGAGUUUAGCUUUGUACUGGUAUCAAAUGCCGAAUAGUGACAUUGUAGUAAUAAUUGUUUUAAUGAAAUUAAUAACAUUAUAAUCAGCUUUAUAUUAUUAUAUA
Molecule: long non-coding RNA, 1231 nt
Organism: Populus trichocarpa (black cottonwood)
Lineage: Eukaryota; Viridiplantae; Streptophyta; Magnoliopsida; Malpighiales; Salicaceae
Exons: 2
Source: RefSeq, a predicted model, not a curated record